UUACAAACCAUUUUUUGCCCUUAGACUUUACAGCACCAUUGCAUUCCUUUAAGUAAAUCACAUCAUUGCUAAGCAGGAGUGCAUCCUCAGAAUCAGACAUGUGUUCAAUUGUGCUUAGCUUCCUUGCUUUCUUUCUUCUUGACAGACAUACUCCAGCAAAAUGAUUUAGCCUACCACAUGAUCUACAGGUUUUCCCAUAUGCAGGACACUGUUCUUUCUCUCUCACAUGUAUACUGCCACAGUACUUACAUGAUGUAGACUUGCUCACAGAUGAAGUGAUUUGGUGAUUAUUGUGUUGAUGCUUGUG
Non-coding RNA from Pelobates cultripes (western spadefoot toad), 307 nucleotides. The record is from the annotation of a GenBank genome assembly. Lineage: Eukaryota; Metazoa; Chordata; Amphibia; Anura; Pelobatidae.